Molecule: non-coding RNA, 4246 nt
Organism: Jatropha curcas
Lineage: Eukaryota; Viridiplantae; Streptophyta; Magnoliopsida; Malpighiales; Euphorbiaceae
Source: RefSeq, a predicted model, not a curated record
AAAGGAAAGGAAGGAAAAACAAGGCAUCAGGACUUGAGGCAAAUAAGACCACUAAGGAGUCCAGACCCUCCGCUAGCGCGAUUCAACGUACAGUACAGGUCAGGUCACAAGCGAGCGAGCGAGCGAGCGAGCAAGACUAAGACAGAUUCCAAGUGAAGCAAUCGAUUGUUUUCUAUUACUUUCUUCUGUGAUGUCUCUGUAUAUUGGUAAUCUGUCAUCACGCAGUCGACAAGAUGAACUACAACAUGUCUUCCAAAAGUUUGGGCGAUGCAAUGUACGAUUGAAAGAUGGAUAUGGAUUUGUAGUAUAUGAAUUCCCUCCAAAUGCAAAGAAAGCUUUGAGAGCACUACAAAAGAAGUACAUUUGUGGUGAGCCAUUAACUCUCACAUGGUCAAAUAAACAGCCUAGACCAUUUGAGAGAUCAGUGAGGUCUACAAGAUCCCAUAAUAAGCCACAGCAUGGCAUGUAUUUUGUUAAAGGAGGGGAUUAUGCUAAAGGAAAGUUGGGUUCUAAUAAUCAGGAUUACAGGAUGAGUGUCAAGCAAUCAGAUGUUUUCAGCAGAAGGCAUGGUUCAACUGACAAGCUUGAUAAAGAGGCAACAUACCUCAAGUAUGAUCCCAAAAAUAACUUGGAGGAAGAGCAUCAUGGAUAUAAGGAAGAUUUUUUGAGUGAAGGUGAUAGGUUUGAGCCUGUGCCAGCUGAUAGGUGGGGCAAGCAAUUUCAUGACAAAGUGAAUGAAAAGGGUGUUGACCAUGCUGUAGAAUUUGACAGAUACGAACCUUUACAAGGUAAAGAUAGAAAAACUAAUGAUGAAAUACGUCAGAUGGUCCAUCGCGAUGAUUCUUCUGGCAUACAAAGCCCUCCAAAAGGUAUAGGAACAGAUCACAUUAGUGAAGUGAAGUUGAAACGUCCUAAUGAUGGGAAACUCCAGGUUACUUGCUACAGAUGUGGAGGUUCAGGUCACAAGAAACGCAAUUGUCCCCAGGAAAAUACUUCACUUAGAAAGUCCUCUACGUCUGACAGUAGGCAUGAUGAUGAAAUCAAUAAAAGAGGUGAGCAUGAAAGUGAACUGGAAAAGUUUGGAUCCGGGUCAGGGGAAAGGCUGCGGUCGGGUGGGGAUGCAAAUCCCGGAAGGCAACUUGAGAAUGAUAUGAAAUCAUCUGGCUUAGGAAAACAUCAAAGAUCAAGACGCAGUAGAAGCUCCCCUGUAGGAAGGGAAACUGAUAUGUCUAAGAAAAAGCAAUAUGACAGAAAUAAACGAAGUUGGAAGGAAAUUGGAUCUCCAAAAGGACAGAGCUCAAAGAAAGCAAGAAGUUCAUUUUUAUCUCCCUCCAAUUCUGAUUACACUGCAUCACCAUCUCACUCAGCAUCUCGAUCCUCUGAGCAUGUAAAUAGGUCUUACAAAAAGUCUAUAUCAAGGUCAGUAUCUUCAAGGGCCGGUUCAUUGUUGUCUCAAUCAAGGUCUAGUCCAACAACAUAUUUUUCUAGAUCCAAAGUCUCCAAGUCUAGAGCAAGGUCAAGCUCCAGAACAUCUUUGUCUGUCUCACUUGGUUGUCCCUUACAUUCUUCUUCAAAUAAGGCUCAUGUUAAUCUGAAGGGAUCUUCAGAUAAUGGUACAACUUCUGAAUCUAUUGAGAAAGGGCAACUGGUUGAAGGUGAUAACUGGUUGGGGGAUUCAAACCUAGAAAAUGGAAUGGUGGUGGCGAACAAUGAAAAUGCAGCACCUCCUUCCAAAAUGGUAAUUGAAAUAGAGAAGGACCAGCCUGUGGAAAACGAUCAUGAAGACCACAAGGUGGCAUCUGGGUCAUUGCAUGAAGUAGCAGAUCCAAGCACAACAGCAGGUGACAAAGGCACAGUUGACACCGGGAGUUUCUGUACAAAGGGGCUUGUAGAAAUGGACUGUCAAAAUUCUGAUGAAUUAAUGAUGGAGCACGUGCCUAUUCCACUGAACAACCUAGAUUCAGGAAAUCGUGUCAGUUCAUGCUCUGACCAUUCAAUAACCCUUUCCUCAGAGGAGUUAUGCAAGGUGUUGAAGCAUUAUUAUGGGCUCGAUCUUCAGGAUACAAAUGAUAGGCAUUUACAAACAGAGGCUUACUUUGGUUCUGCUCGCUUGUGGCCUUGGGAGGUAAUCUACUAUAGAAGGUUGAAGAAGGGUCCUAUCUCCAUUGAGAACUAUGCCAGGCGAGUAGAGCAGAACAGGGAAUUUGGUAUAGUUGACAAAUAUAUCAGAAGUAGUAGUGGAUGGAAAGAAUUGGCCUGAUAGAAUCUAUGAAAGAUAUUUUAUUGGUAUUUCGUUCAAAAUUCAUACUUCAAACCCUACUCUUAUUGGAAUUAUAUGCAAUAUUUCUGUUGGGUAAUCGAGGAGAAACUUUGAACAGUACCAGCUUUCUCAUCAUUCUGGGUGGUGCCAUUACUUGAUUGAGGUUGUGAAAUUGUCAUCUUCAAUCUGAAGUGCACAGAAGUUCUCUCAUUUCAGCUUAUCCAUGAUGGUUCUGCUGGUUGAGCUUAGGCUUAAGUGUUGGACAAGCUCCUUUAUCACAAGUAUUAUCUUUUUGGUUUGCACUUCUACAUGAUCAGUUUGCUGUGAGACAAUAAGAUGUUUAAUGUGGAGUUUCACGCCACUUAACCAAUGAACAUAAAAGCUACAAAAAUUGUAAGUGAUGUAAAAAAAGGGAAUAUUUAUCAUUCAACCUGUUCGUAUGGCCCCUCUCCUUCACAAGGGAGCAUGGGACCCCUCUCCCUUCAGUCGAGGAUCUUCCGGUAAGCAGUAUCAUGGAUCCUUAUUAAUUAUAUAGGAGUCUAUGUUUUUCCAGUUGAUUUCCUUCCUUGAUAUCCUACCGAGUGAUGAUUAAUAUUUGUUUGCUACAAUAUGUAGAAACAACACAUUGGUAUUUUCUAGGUUGUAUAAUGCUGAUAUAUAUUUUCUGCGAUAUUGAGCUCUGUUUGACGUGUUAUGUAUUUUGGUGAGGAUGACGGCAGUAACAGCUAAUAAGGACAUUAAUGGGAUGAAUCAAGAUUUGUUUAUUUGUAAGCUGUGAAGUUCUUUGCACAAAUUGCUUCCUUCUCCAUAAUAAGAAUUCUUUGUGGUUUUGAAGCUGUCAACAGUAACUUGUGGCACUGCAGCACUGUAAAUGAAAAGUAUAGGAGGAGAAAAGAGAAGAGUCUGCCAGACACACUGACCUUUCAAAUUAAAUCAAAAUAUUUUUGAAAUUCUGUUUUAAGAAAAACCUAAAUAACUAGGUUACAGGAAUAUUUAUUGACCUGAAUCAAACCAGGAAAAUUCUAAACUGAUACCAACUAGGAAGCAACACUUUUAAAAUAAGAAAAUUCCCAAAUAAUAAUGAACUUAUAUUUCAUAAAAAGGAAGUUAUGUUAGACUCUAGUCACAAUAAUCUAAAUUUACAUGUUAAACAUCAAAUUAAAUUAAUUCAUAAACUUCUUUUUUCUUUUUUUUUUUCCCCCUCUACUGAUUUGUUUUCUUCAGCUUAGGUGAUCAAUGGGAACACUCCCAUGUCAUGCAAUCCUUUUGGUGGACUCUAGUUUCUCAUAUUUGCUAAUUAAGUAUAUAUCCUGCUAGAUUUCCUAGUUUAGCAGUUUCAUCUAAUGCAUCAUGUUUUUCGUGUAUGCAGAUUAUUCAUGACAGCUAUAGACUCUUGCUCUGUUCUGUUAAUUACAUAUUCUUAUAUUGGAAUGCCUUAUUUAGCGAUUGAUGUUUGGUUUGUUUUCUUGUUAUCUACAUCCUUGGCUAGUGGAGAAUAUUGUAAGACCACAUGUUAGCUGUAGAUUGGCUAUUUCUGAAUUCAGGGAAAAAAAAAAUAAUAUAAUAAUUUUUUUCUGAUGAACUUUUGUUUAGGAACUUACUCUGAUCUUUAAUUGCAGGUCCUAUUGACACAUCCAUAAGAAUUCGAGGAUUGUGUUUGACUUCGUGGUUCAGGUCAAGGAAAUUGAGUAUCAUGUGCUUGCUGUCUCUACAUGAAAAGCAAUUGAUUACAUCAGUCUUAGGUCACGUCAGAGCUCGAGAAUUCACCAACAAAUGUAGCAGUCUACCAGUGAUAGCUUGAGGUUAGUUUAUUUGUUUUAGUAACAUAGAAAACAUUUUUCAAGUUAAUUUUACUGAUCUAAUAGAAUUUGUAGAAAAAAAUUUAUUGGUUUCUUCCUAUAUUGUUAACUUUAAAUUUAUGUUCAUGCAUAUGCACCUCAUAAUAAAGAUGAGAGAAACAAAUGUCACUAAUGCUUCGUCUGGCAA